CAGCCGGACCGGUGCCUGCCUUUCCAUGCCACUCUUGUUUUUGUGCUGUGGCUGUUUUGCAGAUGUCUACCGAGUACAACGGAGAGACACGGAGGGUGGCGUUGGGUCUGGUUUUGAGAUCAGAGCGGCAUCCUGACUGGUUCUGGCUACGUGUCUCACAGUUUAGGGAGUCAGAGGAAGACCUGUUCCCAGAUUCCACUCUCCCAUAGGUGUAUGCUCUUUCACCAAGUCACCUGUUUUAGGGCUCAGUAGUCAGAGCUGGUUUUGUAAUUAUCCUACUUUUGUCUCACCUCUUGAAUGCAUUUCCUACCUUAGAGGCAUAUUGACGGAACGCUUCUGGCUACCAGUCCAGUUACAUAUGGGAUCUUAAGCUGUUCUCUGAGGUCCAGGUGUUUGGCUGCAGCUAGGUUUACAGUCUCUCUCAGUUUGUGAGUGCUACUUGAUGUACAGCUGAAUAGAAGGCACAUGAUCCUUGGCAGUCACAAGAGCCGUCACAGCUGGGACUCUUUCUCGUUCAACCUUCUCCCCGCUAUCUACAUAUUUCUGACAGAGAGGCUCUGCUCGGGCGAUUUAGGGAUGAGAGCAGUUAAAGGCGUUCUGUGUAGGUGUCUGGACCGGAUCCAAGAGGCAGUCAUAAUAAGGGCUAGUCUUUGACUUUGUUCACUUACACCAGUUGAACAUGGUGGGAUCCAACAACUCGCCCCUUUCUCAUAAAACUACAGAGCAGGGUUAGUCUGACUUUUUUAACUUGUGAAAGUGUGCAAAUAGAACCUGUUUAAGGCAUUUCAAACUAUUUCUUACACAGUUAAGAACUGCAGAGACUUAAUUUGGCAUGUCACUCUGCGUUUCUCCGCUUCUGCUUUCUGACACAUUUGAUGUUGACAUUUGUUACCAUAGAGCAUUUUACUGAAAUGAUGCAUCACUUUAGUCACUUUGAUGAUGCGUUAGCACACCGUUGUGUUCUGCUGUUUUCUGUGUAUUUCAGAACAUUGCAUCUUCUUUUCCAGCCUUCCAUUCAUCUAUUUUGGGCUCGUGAGCUCUUUUCAUUGCUACAGCUGUGGUAUUUUACUCUACAUACAGUUAAUUGUGUAAUUGGUCCAUUUAGAGCUGAACUCAAAGGCACAUUGGUUUUUAGGUCACAGAACAAACUCACACAAAAAUCCAAUCCACAUUAGCGAUUGUAAAACAAGGCAGGAAUGUGUGGCGCGAUACAUAAAAACAAUGCGGUCUUUGGGGAAUUCAUUUACUGAGAAUGCAUCUGUUGGUCAUUGGCUGGAUCCACAAUAGCAGAAACCAUUAGCCAUUAGCUUGCUAAUUGCAUGCAGAGCUCUCCUUUCUUCAUUUCCCUGAUACUGAAAGCCACUUGCUCAUAAACUUAGCUCAGGCAUGACUGACUACUCGUAUGUGAAUUCACUUUGAUCAGAAAUGCUUUUGGACAUAUUUAUAUCCAGUCCUGGAAACAUGUCCUUUUUUUUUUCCCCUCCUCAUGAAGUGCUGCAAUUUCAGGUACACUUAGAGAAGGUUUCUAGGAAGAAUGUCGCUGAAAGUAAACUGUUUGUCAAGAUCAUCAUUUGUUUGUUCAGAAGUCUAAACAGUAUGAUUCACUGAUCCAAGUGCACUCCUACAAUGCAGUUAUGCUCUCUCAAUUUGCAUGCUGCAAACCGCCUCCGCUUUACUCUGCAAUAUGCAUAGUAGCAUCGCUAUACGUAUCUCUGUAAUGCAUAGCAUGCCAGUUGCGGACAGUUCAAAAGCAUGAUUGCAGACAAAAGAAGCUGAUAAGCUUGUGGUAGUGCAAACUGUUAUGGUUUGUCAGCAGCAGAUCCUAGGUACAGUAGUGGUACCGUUUCAUCCCUACCAGACUGAACAAUUAACUGGUAACAAAUAAAGUGGUUCCUGUCAGUCAUUGUGACUUGAAUGCUCACUGUGUGACCCACUGAUGGUGGUGUGUGCAUAUGUGCGAGACCAUCUAGUGAACCCGGGGCACCCACUGGCUGGAUCUCCAAGAAUAGCCACAGUGUUCCAGGGCGGGAAAGCCCCAGACGCGUGACCCCGGCAGGGUGGAUGGGCUCUGCGCUGCCUUUGGGAGCUCGAUCGUGGGCCGCUGCUAUUCCUGUCUCGGCCCGGCCCGGUCUGCAUGCUUUCAGAUGGAAAUCUAAACAGUGGGUAGAACAAGCACUUCUCUCACUGGAUCCCCCACCCUUGACCGUGCCUUGUUCAGCAUGGACCUGCUGUGUGAAUAGCCCUCCUUCAUGCGGGCCAGGUUUAACAGUCUUGCUGUCACAAGAUCUGUGAAAGAUAAUGUGAGAGAUAAAGAACUGAAGGUGUUUUAUGGGCUACCCUGACACCCUGCUGAGACGCAAUUGUCAAAGGGCAGAACCUGACUUUUUGUGGGUUGAAGUAUUUAUUUAUUUUUUUUUUUUUCUACAUCCUCUCACAACCUUAUUUUUUUUAGACUGGACUUUGAUGGCAUAUGCAACUCUGAAUUGAAACAGAAAGACAGAAACAUGUGGCUGUAGAUCGGCCCUGGCUAGAAGUCAUUAAAUCGCUGAAUAUACUAAGGAAAACACUGAAUGGACUGGAUGGGCGGGACCCUGUGGUCAUGCCAGCGGUGAUGUCAUCCCUUCAGGGACUCAAUUCAUGUUGUCUUGGAUGCUCUCACAUUACAGAUAAGUGAAUCAUCCGACCCCACCCCACCCCACCCCACCCGACUCCAUGAGACCACCAGGGCCUCAUGACCAUAAUCACAAUUUCACAGCCUGGACGGUCAUACACACCCACACCAACCAGUACACACCUGCACUGUUACUGUAAGUUAUGAAGGUUUUCCAUGUGGGGCUGCAUGGCUCAGGCCCAAGAUCUGUUCAGUAGACAGAAUUACCAUGGAUUCAUAUUCAUACAGCUAUUAGCAAUGUUUAGUUACUCUCUAUGGAAUUUCAUUGAACUUCACCUGCUGAGGUGCUUCGUGGAAGGAUACAGUGUUGGUUUCUCCAAUUAAAGUGCCAUGUGAUGCAGUGUGGAAAGCUGAUUUGAAGCUAAUCACCAUUUAAAGCAGUCGAGCUACACUUGUUGCAAAAAAAAAAAAUAAAAUAAAAAAAUAAGGUUACUACAUUUUAAUUGUUUAAGGGGAUGAUAUCUUUAUAUGAAUCUAAGAAUGUAAGUCUAUGUAUGUGAUGAACAUUUAACUAAAUGAAGACACUGGGGCUUAAAGGAAUCUGUGAAUUGUUUAUUUGAUCAGUGAAUUGUGUGUUUAAUCAGUGAAUCAUUUAUUGACAUGAACAGGAUGAUUCGCUAAAAUGAGUUAGACUUCCAAUGGUGUAUAAAAGUGGACAGAGCAUGUUUGAUUGUUGCCUCAGCUCGCUUUAGAGUAAAGCUUGCUAGUGUGUUUGUUAUACUGUGUGAUUGUUCAAUGAUAAUUUGAGUUCACAGAAUACAUUUUCCAGCUAUCUCAGUGGUAACUGCAUGCAGAUGAUAUCUGUUGAUGUAAAGCAUGGAGAUUAAAGUUUUUCUUUGAAAACAGCUCACAA
Long non-coding RNA from Ctenopharyngodon idella (grass carp), 3524 nucleotides. RefSeq lists it as uncharacterized. The record is from RefSeq and is a predicted model, not a curated record. NCBI's taxonomy places the organism in Eukaryota, Metazoa, Chordata, Actinopteri, Cypriniformes, Xenocyprididae. The transcript has 2 exons.